AAGUCGUAACAAGGUUUCCGUAGGUGAACCUGCGGAAGGAUCAUUACCGAGUAAUCCUGCUUCAGGAACUCCCUCCCUUGUACAUUGACGGUUGCUUCGGCGAGACGCUGGAAACAGCCACUGGGACGUCCAGUCGACGUCCCAGCGCGGGCUCGCCGGAGAAUACAUACUCUGAGAUUAUGUAUGGUCGGAGCACCAAGCAAUAUAUCAAAACUUUCAACAACGGAUCUCUUGGUUUUG
This 240-nucleotide unclassified non-coding RNA is filed under the name fungal sp. Its description in RNAcentral is "partial internal transcribed spacer region". The stretch from base 1 to 46 matches the Rfam family "Eukaryotic small subunit ribosomal RNA", at positions 1786 to 1831 of the family's 1831-position model. The record is from RNAcentral. Lineage: Eukaryota; Fungi.